GAGUGGCGAACGGGAGAGUACCACGUGGGAAAUUUUCGUGGGAGGGGGGGAUACAUUCGGAAACGGAUUCUACUACCGCAUAUGUUUUUGAACCGCAUGGCUCUUAAACGAAAGACGGCUUCGGCUGUCGCUCUUAGAUGAUCCCGCGACGUAUUAGUUAGUUGGUGGGGUAAAGGCCUACCAAGACCAUGAUACGUAGCCGACCUGAGAGGGUGAUCGGCCACACUGGGACUGAGACACGGCCCAGACUCCUACGGGAGGCAGCAGUAGGGAAUCUUCCACAAUGGGUGAAAACCUGAUGGAGCAAUGCCGCGUGAAUGAAGAUGGUCUUCGGAUCGUAAAGUUGUGUUAUUAGAGAAGAACAAGUCAAGGAGUAUCUGUCUUGACUUUGACGGUACCUAACCAGAAAGUCACGGCUAACUACGUGCCAGCAGCCGCGGUAAUACGUAGGUGACAAGCGUUGUCCUGAAUUAUUGGGCGUAAAGGGAGCGCAGGCGGUUGGAUUAGUCUGAUGUGAAAGCCCACGGCUUAACCGUGGAAGGUCAUUGGAAACUGUCCAACUUGAAUACAGAAGAGGUAAGUGGAAUUCCAAGUGUAGCGGUGAAAUGCGUAGAUAUUUGGAGGAACACCAGUGGCGAAGGCGACUUACUGGUCUGUAAUUGACGCUGAGGCUCGAAAGCGUGGGUAGCAAACAGGAUUAGAUACCCUGGUAGUUCACGCCGUAAACGAUGAGUGCUAAGUGUUAGGGGGUUUCCGCCCCUUAGUGCUGGAGUUAACGCA
RNAcentral lists this ribosomal RNA (780 nucleotides) under uncultured bacterium. RNAcentral's name for it is "bacterial SSU rRNA". It matches the Rfam family "Bacterial small subunit ribosomal RNA", at positions 93 to 859 of the family's 1533-position model. The record is from RNAcentral.